GAUGAACGCUGGCGGCGUGCCUAAUACAUGCAAGUCGAGCGAACAGACGAGGAGCUUGCUCCUCUGACGUUAGCGGCGGACGGGUGAGUAACACGUGGAUAACCUACCUAUAAGACUGGGAUAACUUCGGGAAACCGGAGCUAAUACCGGAUAAUAUAUUGAACCGCAUGGUUCAAUAGUGAAAGACGGUUUUGCUGUCACUUAUAGAUGGAUCCGCGCCGCAUUAGCUAGUUGGUAAGGUAACGGCUUACCAAGGCGACGAUGCGUAGCCGACCUGAGAGGGUGAUCGGCCACACUGGAACUGAGCCACGGACCAGACUCCUACGGGAGGCAGCAGUAGGGAAUCUUCCGCAAUGGGGGAAAGCCUGACGGAGCAACGCCGCGUGAGUGAUGAAGGUCUUCGGAUCGUAAAACUCUGUUAUUAGGGAAGAACAAAUGUGUAAGUAACUAUGCACGUCUUGACGGUACCUAAUCAGAAAGCCACGGCUAACUACGUG
RNAcentral lists this ribosomal RNA (497 nucleotides) under uncultured bacterium. RNAcentral's name for it is "partial 16S ribosomal RNA". It matches the Rfam family "Bacterial small subunit ribosomal RNA", at positions 28 to 507 of the family's 1533-position model. The record is from RNAcentral.